Cordylochernes scorpioides is the source of this 81-nucleotide non-coding RNA. NCBI's taxonomy places the organism in Eukaryota, Metazoa, Arthropoda, Arachnida, Pseudoscorpiones, Chernetidae. The record is from the annotation of a GenBank genome assembly.
UGCCGAAAUAGCUCAGUUGGGAGAGCGUUAGACUGAUGAUUUAAAGGUCCCUUUUAUAAGGGCAUGUAGCUCAGGUGGUAG